RNAcentral lists this ribosomal RNA (815 nucleotides) under uncultured bacterium. RNAcentral describes it as "bacterial SSU rRNA". It matches the Rfam family "Bacterial small subunit ribosomal RNA", at positions 8 to 796 of the family's 1533-position model. The record is from RNAcentral.
AGAGUUUGAUCAUGGCUCAGAACGAACGCUGGCGGCGUGGAUAAGACAUGCAAGUCGAACGCUGAUCACAGGGUAGCAAUAUUCUGUGGUCGGAGUGGCGCAAGGGUGCGUAACACGUGGGUAAUCUGCCAUAAAGUUUGGGAUAACUCGCUGAAAGGCGAGCUAAUACCGGAUGUGAUCAUUGGAAGGCAUUUUCUGAUGAUUAAAGCUGGGGACCGUAAGGCCUGGCGCUUUUUGAUGAACCCGCGGCCUAUCAGCUAGUUGGUGAGGUAACGGCCCACCAAGGCUAAGACGGGUAGCUGGUCUGAGAGGACGACCAGCCACACUGGAACUGAGACACGGUCCAGACACCUACGGGUGGCAGCAGUCGAGAAUUUUUCACAAUGGGCGAAAGCCUGAUGGAGCGACGCCGCGUGGGGGAUGAAUGGCUUCGGCCCGUAAACCCCUGUCAUUUGCGAACAAACGUUAUUAUUUAAAAGAUGAUGACCUGAUUGUAGCGAAAGAGGAAGGGACGGCUAACUCUGUGCCAGCAGCCGCGGUAAUACAGAGGUCCCGAGCGUUGUUCGGAUUCACUGGGCGUAAAGGGUGCGUAGGUGGCGGGGUAAGUCUGAUGUGAAAUCUCCAAGCUUAACUUGGAAAUGGCAUUGGAAACUACUCUGCUUGAGGGUUGGAGGGGGGACUGGAAUGCUUGGUGUAGCAGUGAAAUGCGUAGAUAUCAAGCGGAACACCAGUGGCGAAGGCGAGUCCCUGGACAACUCCUGACACUGAGGCACGAAAGCUAGGGGAGCAAACAGGAUUAGAUACCCUAGUAGUCC